ACAUKGAGCACUGAUUUUUCGAACGCGCAUUGCGGCCUCGGGUCCUGCCCGGGGCCUCGCCUGUCUGAGGGUC
RNAcentral lists this ribosomal RNA (73 nucleotides) under Anelosimus baeza. RNAcentral describes it as "partial 5.8S ribosomal RNA". Lineage: Eukaryota; Metazoa; Arthropoda; Arachnida; Araneae; Theridiidae. The record is from RNAcentral.